This 20-nucleotide unclassified non-coding RNA is filed under the name Dictyostelium discoideum. The record is from RNAcentral. Lineage: Eukaryota; Evosea; Eumycetozoa; Dictyosteliales; Dictyosteliaceae.
UUGUGUUUGAAUAGAUGUGU